This 775-nucleotide ribosomal RNA is filed under the name uncultured Neocallimastigales. RNAcentral describes it as "partial large subunit ribosomal RNA". It matches the Rfam family "Eukaryotic large subunit ribosomal RNA", at positions 22 to 646 of the family's 3401-position model. The record is from RNAcentral. Lineage: Eukaryota; Fungi; Neocallimastigomycota; Neocallimastigomycetes; Neocallimastigales.
GUACACGCUGUGACUAGCAUAUCAAUAAGCGGAGGAAAAGAAACUAACAAGGAUUCCCUCAGUAACGGCGAGUGAAGCGGGAAGAGCUCAAAUUUGAAAUCUUGAAAGGUCACCUUUCACGAAUUGUAGUUUAAAGAAGUGUUUUCUGUUACGAUCGUAAUAUAAGUUCUUUGGAAUAGGACAUCAUAGAGGGUGAGAAUCCCGUAUGAUUGACCGAUUAUUGUCAGCUUUGUGAUACACUUUCAAAGAGUCGGAUUGUUUGGGAAUGCAGUCCAAAAUGGGUAGGUAAAUUUCUAUCUAAGGCUAAAUAUUGGCGAGAGACCGAUAGCGAACAAGUACCGUGAGGGAAAGAUGAAAAGAACUUUGAAAAGAGAGUUAAACAGUACGUGAAAUUGUCAAAAGGGAAGCGUUUAACACCAGUGUUGUUUUCUGGAAAUCAACCUCUGUUAGCUUUAUGCAUGUUUGUUUAGACCUAAUCAGCUAUCUUGCAUGUUCUAUUGUUUGCAGUGGUGCACUUUUCAGUUUACAGGUCAACAUCAGUUUUUUUACCGUAAAAAAGUUAAAGAAAGGUAGCUCAUGGCUCCGGUCGUGAGUGUUAUAGUCUUUUUCCUAUGCGGUAGGAGAGACUGAGGUCUGCAGUGUAGGCUAUUUGGCUAGAUACUCAGGUGCUAUGUGAUACCAUUUCAUAAACAACUUGUUGAUUAUGUUUUGUCUAUUGCAUACUCGCUUGUACUAUCAUACCUACGCUUAGGAUGUUGAGUAGCGACAUACGCAC